AGUGAGUGGAAUGAGGUGGGGGAGUGAGAGGAGAGAGUAGGAGCAGAGAUGGGAAGCCUGGCCAGUGGAGGCAUCCCAGGCCUGCUCUGAGGAGGUGCCAUAGCCCUGAGAGACCGAGGUCAGUGACCUAACACAGCAGACAGCUGAGCUCACAGAUGUUUGUCCAGGUACGAGCACUGCAGCCACUGCAGCAAAGGGUCUCAGGUCCCAGGUGCUGUCUCACUCCUUCACUACCUGGCUCUGAGGACGAUGGUACUGGCCCCCUGUCACAAGUGAGGAUGCCCUGCUGAGACUUACGAGAUUGCUGCUUGAAGGAGGUCGCAGAGUGCCAAGAGUCCAAGGAGGCCUGAUUCCAAACCUCCAGAUCUUUCCCUUGCCCUGGGAGAACGGCCACAAGCAGGCCCAGAGAGGAAACUGAGGCACAGACUAGCAGAGCGACUCAGUUAAACGUUCACCAUGUAAAUGAUACAAUGGAGGACAGCCGCUGUGUUACAAUAUCUUGGAGUUUCACUAUUAUCUAAGUCAAAAACGACAUCCAGCCGUGAGCUGUGGUGUAGGUCGCAGAUACAGCUCGGAUCUGGUGUUGCUGUGGCUGUGGUAUAGACCAGAAGCUACAGCUCCGAUUCAGCCCCUAGCCUGGGAACCUCCAUAUGCCGAGGGCGUAACCCUAGAAGACAAGAAAUGAAAAUAAAACUGAAAAAAAGACAUCCAGGGACCUUCGAUUUCUCAUGAAAAGAGCUGUGUAUCAAGAAAGCAUCAGGCCAGUGGGAAUGGGAAGGAUUUAGCUAUACUUUCUGUCUCAUAAUGUGCUAAUCUUAUUAUCUCAUAGUAGCUAUUAUCUGAGUCCUAUGAAUAAUGUCAUUCCAGUGUUUCUGGAGAAUAGGAGUGGAGCUCCAGGCCCUUAAAAACAAUCCUGGGCAGAGUCUGAGUAAUCUAGUACAUCUGAAUCACAAGAAAGAGGCAAGUCUCGAUUUGGAAUCAGAAAAGAAAUGAUGCAAAGCUUUCUAAGCCCUGGAAGGGAGGGAAGCCCGGGCAGACCCAGGAUCUGACUGCAAGGGGUUGGCUGCUUCUCUCCUGCCUAUUCCACCACCAGCCGCCCCCGCUUCCCCAGCGCCCGCUGUGGCCUGCCCUCCUGGGCCCACCCUCCGCUCAAAUCCUGCCCUUGUGAUUGACAGGCCUCCGCGACCCGGAGGAGGAACCUCAAGGAGGAACCGGACCCCUCCUCGCAGAGCUGCUACCGCCACACAGAAGGGGCCCAUUCUGCUUACAGGUUUGCUUCCCAGCCUGCUUCAAAUCCCAUUGAGGCCCAAAGCCCCCUCACUGGACCUGCCGGUUUUAGGAUGCAUAUGUUUUUCCCCUUCCAAGCUCUUUUGUUGCAUUGUGUAUCACUUUCCUUACCUAGAUACAAGGCUGUCUCCAUGAUGGGAGACCUUCCUUUCUAGAAUUUCCAGGAAGUUCGGUUGCCUCCCACAUGUUCAAUUUCAUGUAAUUCAAACUGAAGUCUGAGACUCUUUUUCCUAAUUCAGGAAAAGUUGUGAGCUUGGCAACCCAAAUGGAAAGACUUUUUUUUUUUAAUGGUAGUGGAUUUGGGGGGUGUUUUUCUCAUUUUGGUUGUGUGCGUAUGUUUCAUAAAGUGCAUCGGAGAAUUAAACUCAAAAAGCAACUGCUUGGAGAGAUAGAAACUCUUGUAAUUCAUGUUGUGCAUAAUGGAUCUGGCAGGCCCAAGCAUAGAAAUUUCCAGAAGUGUUUGCGUGGCAGCAGUUCUUAGCCAAUUCACAUUUUUUAGCUGUCCUGGCCGGCUGCCCAGCCUACAGAAAAAGUCUUGUAUCUCCACAAGUUUGGCUGGCCUCUCUGACGAGUUUCCAAACUGCAUGGCAACAUUGGAUGAGCUUAUUUUCAAGUGCCAAAAAACUCCUGCUACUUAUAUCGUUACUAAAUACCAGAUGUGUUUAAUACAGAGCAGGCAGAGCCAAACCUAGGGUAAUCAAAUAACCUAUCAUUAACAUUUUCUAAAAACAAAAAAUGCAAUUGGAACACCAGAUUACUGUUUUUCUUUGUUUGCUUUACGCCCUAUUACUGGAACCCCUAGGGUGAUGGGAACAGGACUCGGGGUGGAGAGGCCGGCUCUGGCAGCGGCCAAGACGCUGUUUACAAUCACACCCCUGCACAUCUGAAACAUGUGUGAGAAAGUCAAGGCCCCAGCAGAUUUCCUCUGCCCCGCUGCUCACAUCCCUACCCCUGCACUCCCCACCCCAGGGGGUUCUGUGCAGGCGGUGGCUCUCACCACGCGGGAAAGGCACGGAAAAGCUGAGGUGCCCUGGGAUUUGACCUUGAAGGAGAGAACUGUAGAGGGAGACGGGUAGGUAGGGUUGGGAGUUGGCAAAUGAGAAGCUAUGCAAGAGUGGGAAGCUGCUACUGCUGGAAAAGUGCAGAGACAUUCUGAAAGGCUUGAAGAGGCAAGAGGAUGCUGUGUGUCUUUGUCAGAGGCCCUGGCGGGGCUUCAGCUGGUAGCCCUUGCAGUGAUUCUUCAGGCACAAAUCCCCAGUUCCAACCCCGCCCCAUCCCCACCCUGCCCAUUGUUGUAAUUUCUCUUCCUUGCUUCCCCUCCCUCUCUUCUUCCCUCCCUCCCUCCCGCCCUUCCUUCCUUCCUUCCUUCCUUCCUUCCUCUCCCUCCUUCCUUUCCUCCUGUCCUUUCCCAGGCUUGAGUUGCCUGGGAAUCCAGGGCGAGGGAAGCAUGGUGCCUCUCUCUCUAUUCCAGGCCAUUCCUGCCACCAGUUUCCCUCCGCCCGACCUCCAUUGCCUGGGUGCUCAAUCCUCCGAAACUCUAUGCCGUCCCCUUUUUAGUCCUGCCUCCCAACGUUCUGAAAAGAUGAAGAAGGCAUCCUUGUCACCUCGAGGUUGGUGACCCCGGUAGAUCAAAUGGCAAGCAUGAGUGUCAGGGGUGAUUUGAGAAGAAAGAUGGAAGUUUGCAAAAUGAGAUUUUAUAGAUGGAAUCUCACCAUAAGAAAUUUGAGAGUUCAUAACUAUUCUGAAAAUAGUUGUUAUCUGCAUUAAGACAACUGUAUAAAUAAAGGAAUCAGUGAUG
This 3085-nucleotide long non-coding RNA is filed under the name Sus scrofa (pig). RNAcentral describes it as "lncRNA (ENSSSCG00025030972.1, ENSSSCG00035037853.1)". Lineage: Eukaryota; Metazoa; Chordata; Mammalia; Artiodactyla; Suidae. The record is from RNAcentral.